UUUUUUUUUUUUUUGAGACAGGAUCUCGCUCUGUAACCCCAAGUGGCACUAUCUGAGCUCACUGCCACCUCCACUUCAUGGCCUGAAGAGAUCCUUCCACCUCAGCUUCCCAAAGUGCUGGGAUUACAGAAUAGAAUGAAUAUGAUAUUAAUAGUACUUCAAAUUGUGGCCACGAUGGAGUACCUGUAUUGAUGAUAGUCUCCCAGCAUAAACAACUACAAAGCUGCGCAAAGUACAUGAAGAAAUUGUCUUCAGGCAUUGGGCAAUAGGCAGUUCCAGGUACAAUCUGUGAGAAGGGAAUCACAUGAAGGGACUGCUACAUUUUUCUGGUGGAGAAAGUUUCCAAACCCUCAACGAUAGCAUACAGAUAGGAAACAGAGUCCAGGCCGAAAGGAUCAGUGUUGUUUGGUGGAGGAAACAGAGACUGCUGCUCAGGGCUGCUAAAAUGUAUGUGGCAGAGUAUCAGAAAGGAUGGAGUUGCAGAGAAGGAGCCCCAGAAAUCUUAUAGAGUUUGCUGUAAGUCCUUGGCCAAAUCUCACACUAUGAAUGUGUGGAUUGAGACUCUGCAAGGCCCAGCACAGAACAGCCAAUGGGGAGCUGAAAGCUAAACAGCAAUUUCAGUGGUCACAGAGUGCUGGAGACACAUCUGAAUUCUGGUUCAGCCAGAGUCUCCACUCUUGGAAUCUCAGGCCUCGAUGAAUAUCCCAGAUACUCCCAGGAGGGCCUAGAAGGCCAUGCCUUGGGAUUAAGGAAGAUACCCCAGGAAUAAGGGCAAAACUGAACAACAGCUCACCCUAACAAAACCUAAAAUGUAGUCUGACACACAUGAUCAAGUUAACCCAUCAGUAAUUUAAUUCCCUGCCAAAA
Long non-coding RNA from Cercocebus atys (sooty mangabey), 867 nucleotides. RefSeq lists it as uncharacterized. The record is from RefSeq and is a predicted model, not a curated record. NCBI's taxonomy places the organism in Eukaryota, Metazoa, Chordata, Mammalia, Primates, Cercopithecidae. The transcript is spliced from 2 exons.